Molecule: long non-coding RNA, 3587 nt
Organism: Halichondria panicea
Lineage: Eukaryota; Metazoa; Porifera; Demospongiae; Suberitida; Halichondriidae
Exons: 3
Source: RefSeq, a predicted model, not a curated record
GACAUUUCUUAGCUCUUCAAGAAUAAAGAUGCGACAACCUGCGCAGAGUCUGCAUGGGGAAAUCCCUUCACGGAUUCUUCUCCAUUUUUUGGGUGGAACAAAGUCAUCUUCAUGUUUCUCAUGAUUGCAACAAUUUGAGAUCCCCUCACAUGUCAAAUUAGUGGGUCCAGCUCAGUAUUGUGCUAUUAAAGAUAGUUGCAGUUGUUGUUUGGCUGUCUUCAGUUGCAGCUGGAAAUAAUCUUCUACCAAUGUACUGGUCAUCCUUAAAUAGUCGAAUGUAUGGAGUGGGAAGGAUUGCAUCUCAAAAUUGCAUUCCAAGCUGAUUUACUUCGAUCCCACGUACUUUUAAUGGUGGUGUUUGUAUUUGUUGCCAACAGUCUCCCACCAUACACCUUCUCCUUUUUGUAAGUAGAGACUGAUGCGUUGACAUGCGUGACUUUAGAAAGUCUUGUGAAAUGAUUGUUCCACUGUAUGGUGGUACUUUGUUUGCCACCUCUGUAACCAUUGUUGCUUGUUUUCGUAGACUUGUCAGUGUACUAGUAGUACCUGUCUCCUCUUUAGCUUGCAUACUCCUGGCUUGCAUACUCAGGAGUCAAAACAUUGUCUGGUUUUCUGUUCGUAGCUCGUAGGCUAAUGUGUUUGAUUUGAGCUCUCGUUCGUGGAGCGUAGGCAAACCAUAUGGUACUGGGUGGGAGCGAGAUCGUGAAGAUAUGUCCCAUAUAAUCUAUCCCUAGCUUGUGCAGUAGGAUUCAAGAUAGUAGGAUUCAAGAUGAGUUCGUUCAUGAUGAAGCCAAGUAACGUUGUAAAGCUGUAACACAGUUUUGGGAUUUCGACCUGAAUCAGAGCAGCAAGUUGGUGUUGAAGGUCACAAAGAGUUGUACUGGGUGAGACAAGGCAGUGUGCGAGGGAUAGAAGCUCACGGAUUUCUUCUAUCGUAAGUUGCUGAAUUUGCUGGUCACUCAUUAAACGCAUGUACUUGUUUCCGUAUUUCAAUUAAUGAUAGCUUUCUGUCCACCUCUUCAUUUUUUACGUCUCCGUCAAGUGGAUUUAUGUACAAUAUAUGAGGUGAGCGUGGCUCUCCUAAUGAUAGUUUGCCGCUAGCAAUCAGUUCCCAUUUAUAAUUUCAGGUGUUGGUAAGGAUGGGGUUGAUAUCUCACCCCCUGGAAGUCUCUUUUUUAGUUCUAGGGAGGAAGUGACCUCUUUUGCUCCAUGUCUAGCACAUUAAAACCUUGUUUUAUCGCAUAUUCCUUCAAUACUUGACCUGCAUUUUUUCCAGGAAUUUGUAGCUGUUUUGCUGAUUGUGACCAGUUGAUGGUUUCUCCUGUGGGAUGCGAUUGGAGCAAUGCUCAUGGCUCCAUGUGUGAUUCUCUGAAUUUUCUUGUUAGGGGUUGGAGGUAGUUCGAAAGACAUCGCAAAGCGUUUAUGCUUGUAUGCUGAAUCCCUUCAGCUUCAGCUAGCGUCGUUAAACAAAUGUUUUCACUCAUCUGCUUGCUAACAUGUUGCACGAUUUUUCUUUUUUGGGCUCUGUCACGUUGUUAUUUUUUUACUUUCGAUAUUUUUUGUGUUAAAUUUGCCAUUCUCAUUUGCCAUUCUCGAGAGUACACUGCUGGUAUGAAUGACCAUGUCCUUCUUGCCACUGUUCGUUUAAAUCUCCUAGUACCAUGCAAACUUCAUCCCUUUCAGGUUGGGAUGGUGACACUGGGUUCUACUCUGAAAGACAGGUUGUUCUGGGAACGCCUCUUGAAGACGUAAGUGGUGUCUGCUACAUUCUGUGCACUUUGAAACGGAGUGUUUAUUCUUCUCAGUAACAGAAAGCUUUUUCCAGUUUUCGGAUGAAAAGUGUGCCUCGUAAUCUUCCCUUAGCAUUGGGUUCCAUUUUUUCGAAAAACUGUUUAAGGUCCUUUUUUACAAUAUUUGUCAAAGUGGGUUUCCCCUUUGCUGUCUACCAUAAACAAAUCAUCUGGGAGAGCAAUGUCACUAAAUUGUUUUUCGAAUUCACUCCUUCGUGCUACCACAUUCACACAACGUUCAUGUGUCCCUCUCUUUGUAGCUCCCGCAGUUCUUGCAUACCCACAAUUAAACUUGAGGGCUAUUGUUGGCGUAAACAUGUCGCUCUGUGUGAGAAGGAUUAUAAAUUACGUUAACUUACGAGAGAUUACACCCUGAAGUGUUCACAUUCACAUUCAAUUAAAAUGUCUCGAACUAAGCUGCUCUUAUUGCUACAUUUUUUAGACGUAAAACUUGUAAACCCAUAACAUUUCCUUUCUUUUAUUCUAUGCAUACACCUUACGUACCUGCUUCAAGCUUGUGCAAUGGAUACCAGGAGUAUUGCAGGAGAGUGUGCAGUGCUGGAGAGCAUGCUAGCAAAGAGAUGAAAAAUUGUUCCAUAUAAUUGUUAUCAAUGUUCUGUUUUUGUUAUUAAUAAACUGAAUCUUUAGCUCUGAACAAUAGUAUUUUGCAAUUGCAAGCUGCACAUAAUAAUAAUUGCCGCCUGCGCAAGUGCAGUAAUUUUCGAGGUCAAGUACUCAGAAUCACAUGACAGUUGCCACUCCCCCCACAACUUCUCUGCAGCUGAUACUGUACAAUUAUGAAAGCAGCUUAUGCGGAGGUUUAAAACACCAUUUAGAUAGCUUAUAACUGCUCUAUAUGAAGUCUUCUAUUGAUUUGUCCGUCUACUUUUCGCUUGAAAUCAUAAUCGUCGCACUAAAAGCCUGUUCUUUAACGAGUGAGUCACUUCCAAGUAGCAACCUACACAAAAAAUUUGAUCUCUGCAAAAUGAUGUUUUGAGUCAUACAAAGCAACUAAAAUAAAGCAGGCAGCCAAUUUGAAAUACCUUUUGCACAAUAGCAGCCGUAAACUCUCACCACAACUAUGCGCUUGCAUGCAAUAUUUCCACUCUAAACAAAGCACACUUCAAGUUAAAUUUCAAAACUAUUAUUGAAGCAUAGAUAAAGGAAUUUUGUGCUGCAAUUCUACACUUCAAGGUAAGUAAUUUAGAGCAGAAUUAAACCAAUUGUAUUUAGUUGUCAGAGCCUGGUGUAUUUUUUAUAACUACAAGCAGAAAUUGGAAAUUUUGUUUUGAUGCUGCCAAAAUGGAAAUGUCAGUUCCUCACCAUAUUUUUGUGAAGUAUGAUAAUAAUUAAAAAGAGACAUCCGAUGUAUUUUUAGUUUUUCAGUAUUAACUAGAUUCUACUCCGUAACAAAGUAAUAAACAUUACGAAAUGUCAGUGAUCAUCAUAAUGUAUUGUACACAGGCUGUUGACUGCCCUCCCCUCAAUGAAAAUUUCAGCCACCCAAGUGCGUGGCCUUGUGUGCGUGGCCUUGUUAACAACAACAGGUGAACAAUUUGUCCAAAAACUAAGAACUGCUCGAUUAAAUCAAGUUUCAAGACGCUGAAGAAAACUAUAUACUUGGUCUAUGCAUAUAUUUGGUCUAUGCAUAUAUAGAGAUCUACUCUGUCUAUGGUCUAUGAUAUGCCAACUUUUCAACAAAAACACAUGCACUGCAUUAAUGAUGAGAACAGAAAGUGUGCUAUUUUGACCUAACUAUUGACUUUUUUUACUGGAGACAUAACUUUGAAAAAAAUU